GACGAACGCUGGCGGCGUGCUUAGCACAUGCAAGUCGAACGAUGAAGCGGUGCUUGCACCGUGGAUUAGUGGCGAACGGGUGAGUAAUACGUGAGUGACCUACCUUUGACUCUGGGAUAAGCCUGGGAAACUGGGUCUAAUACCGGAUACGACCAAUCUCUGCAUGGGGUGUUGGUGGAAAGCGUUAUGGAGUGGUUUUAGAUGGGCUCACGGCCUAUCAGCUUGUUGGUGAGGUAAUGGCUUACCAAGGCGACGACGGGUAGCCGGCCUGAGAGGGUGACCGGCCACACUGGGACUGAGACACGGCCCAGACUCCUACGGGAGGCAGCAGUGGGGAAUAUUGCACAAUGGGCGCAAGCCUGAUGCAGCGACGCCGCGUGAGGGAUGACGGCCUUCGGGUUGUAAACCUCUGUUAGCAUCCAAGAAGCGAAAGUGACGGUAGGUGCAUAGAAAGCGCCGGCUAACUACGUGCCAGCAGCCGCGGUAAUACGUAUGGCGCGAGCGUUGUCCGGAAUUAUUGGGCGUAAGAGCUUGUAGGCGGUUGGUCGCGUCUGCUGUGAAAGGCCGGGGCUUAACUCCGGUUUUGCAGUGGGUACGGGCUAACUAGAGUGCAGUAGGGGAGACUGGAAUUCCUGGUGUAGCGGUGGAAUGCACAGAUAUCAGGAGGAACACCGAUGGCGAAGGCAGGUCUCUGGGCUGUAACUGACGCUGAGAAGCGAAAGCAUGGGGAGCGAACAGGAUUAGAUACCCUGGUAGUCCAUGCCGUAAACGUUGGGCACUAGGUGUGGGGGACAUUCCACGUUUUCCGCGCCGUAGCUAACGCAUUAAGUGCCCCGCCUGGGGAGUACGGCCGCAAGGCUAAAACUCAAAGGAAUUGACGGGGGCCCGCACAAGCGGCGGAGCAUGCGGAUUAAUUCGAUGCAACGCGAAGAACCUUACCAAGGCUUGACAUGCAUUAGAUCGCGUCAGAGAUGGCGUUUCCCUUCGGGGCUGGUGUACAGGUGGUGCAUGGUUGUCGUCAGCUCGUGUCGUGAGAUGUUGGGUUAAGUCCCGCAACGAGCGCAACCCUCGUUCUAUGUUGCCAGCGGUUCGGCCGGGGACUCAUAGGAGACUGCCGGGGUUAACUCGGAGGAAGGUGGGGAUGACGUCAAAUCAUCAUGCCCCUUAUGUCUUGGGCUUCACGCAUGCUACAAUGGCCGGUACAGAGGGUUGCGAUACUGUGAGGUGGAGCUAAUCCCUUAAAGCCGGUCUCAGUUCGGAUUGGGGUCUGCAACUCGACCCCAUGAAGUCGGAGUCGCUAGUAAUCGCAGAUCAGCAACGCUGCGGUGAAUACGUUCCCGGGCCU
RNAcentral lists this ribosomal RNA (1345 nucleotides) under uncultured bacterium. RNAcentral's name for it is "bacterial SSU rRNA". It matches the Rfam family "Bacterial small subunit ribosomal RNA", at positions 28 to 1381 of the family's 1533-position model. The record is from RNAcentral.